RNAcentral lists this ribosomal RNA (254 nucleotides) under uncultured bacterium. Its description in RNAcentral is "partial 16S ribosomal RNA". It matches the Rfam family "Bacterial small subunit ribosomal RNA", at positions 524 to 776 of the family's 1533-position model. The record is from RNAcentral.
CACGUAGGGUGCGAGCGUUGUCCGGAAUUAUUGGGCGUAAAGAGCUCGUAGGCGGUGUGUCGCGUCGGCCGUGAAAACCUGCAGCUUAACUGUGGGCUUGCGGUCGAUACGGACAUCACUGGAGUUCGGCAGGGGAGACUGGAACUCCUGGUGUAGCGGUGAAAUGCGCAGAUAUCAGGAGGAACACCGGUGGCGAAGGCGGGUCUCUGGGCCGAUACUGACGCUGAGGAGCGAAAGCGUGGGGAGCGAACAGG